This 4748-nucleotide long non-coding RNA is filed under the name Homo sapiens (human). Its description in RNAcentral is "non-protein coding lnc-FSIP1-4:40". Lineage: Eukaryota; Metazoa; Chordata; Mammalia; Primates; Hominidae. The record is from RNAcentral.
AGUGUUUGUACCAGCUCUUCUUUGUAUGUCUGUUAGAAUUUGGCUGUGAAUUCACCGGAUCUGGGCCUUUUAUGAAAAAUCUUCAUGGAGUGGCAAAAGUUGUUUACCUGAAGCUCACAAGAUGUAUCCAGAAAAUAUCACCAGGGAUCAGAUCAAGCCUGACCCCCAUUUUACAUCUUCUGUAACCAGAAGCACUCCAAGAACAACACUUUCAUUCAUGGACUUAACAACUACAUUAGAUCAUACCAGCCUGUCACUUCAAAGUCACCAGUGUCAAGGAACAUUUCAAAUUGGCUUAAAGCAUUGUUUUGGAGGUGUGAAUAAUGAAGCCAAGGACAUUAGCAACAUCAUGAAAGCAGGCAUCAAGUGAAUAGAGAAGAUUCUAUGGAUGUAGAAGAGGUCCCUGGGUUUCCGAAUUGCCACUGGAUUGCCUCUAUCAAAUACACAAGAGUUUCAUGAGUGAGAAAUAACCUUCUGUUGCUUUAAAUCUUGGGUUGUGCAAUACAUCAGUGAGCCUACCAUGACUAAUACAUUCUAUGGAUGCAGAUUUCUCUUCUCUGGCCAUUGACAUGAGUGUGCUUUCUGGAUGCAGUCACAGGGGACCCAAGAUUCUUGGACAGAAUUCUCGCCGGGAGCCAACUCAGCCUGAUCUGCUGGCAUCUCUCAAGUAUCAGAAGUCAACAAAAUGGUUUGCCUUGAAGACUUGGCCAGAGCAGCAGCCAAAGUUCAUAAGGCUUUCGUAGAGAGAUUGUUUGUCUAAGAAAACAAAAUUCUAAGGGCUCCCAUUGUGCAGCUGGGGUGGCAAAAUGCAAACUAAUAUAAGGAAAAAAAAUGCUUUUCAUUUCCAUGGAAGAAAUGACCCAUCCUAUUGUUGAUAUUUCCUUUUCUGUGCUAACUUAUUCCAUUAAUUAGGCUCUCGUUUUAUGAGAUAAUUUCACUGCAUGCGUAUCUUCUUUUGGUUAUUACACAAGGACUGUUUUCUAUGGUUCAUAUCUAAGUCCAACCCUGGAAAAAUCUUUUUUUUUGAGACAGCCUUUUUUGUUUUGUUUUGAGACAAUACUCCCUCUGUUGCCCAGGCUGGAAUGCAGUGGUGAGAUCAUAGCUCACUGCAACUUCUGCCUCCUAGGCUCAAAAAAUCCUCCCACCUCAGCCUCCCAAGUAGCUGGGAUUGCAGGCAUAUGCCAUCACACCCGGCUAAUUUUUGGAUUUUUAGUAAAGUUUUGCCAUGUUGGCCAGGCUGAUCUUGAACUCCUGCCCUCAAGUGAUCUGCCCACCUUGACCUCCCAAAGUGCUGGGAUUACAGGUGUGAGCUACUGUGCUCAGCUCAGCCAUGGAACAAUCUUGAUGUAUAAUUUAUCUGCAGGUAUCUCCAUCUCUAUUUGCCACUCUUAGUAAAUGUUUUAGUUUGACAGUAAACGAGUUGAGACAUUAAUGAUUGAGAGAGCACCUAAGCAGCUCGAAGUGCUGGGAGUCUCUCCUAAAGAAUUAGAUGCACACAGCAUUUUUCCCUUACAGACACUUCACUGAGCAGUCAUGUUGGACUUGGGUGGCGUCUGCUAUUAGACACACUAUUCACCAAUAAAACCCUGAAAAUUGCAUUGCACAGGACUGAUAAAAAUAAGAUGACUUAAGAAACGUAUUUAUGGUAUAUAUACACAGAAAAAGAAUGAAAGUUUGAGGGGGUAUUGCCUCUGGGAGGAAGAGUUAUGAGUAGUUUGUAUUUCCUUUUUUGUUAAUCUGUAUUUCAUUUUUUAGGCAAUGCAAAUAUAUUAUUUAGACAACAAAAUACUUAUUAGAAAGAAAAGACAUGGUGGGUUUUUUCCCCUUUAUUCUUUGCUUUUCUAAGAGGAAACUUUGACUGCAAUUGCUUGUGAGUGAUACCUGUGUUCUGGUAGCUUAGGAAGACACAAUGUGGUUAGGGAAGGAUAAGAACAGAUGGCUUUAAUAAAUGUACUCAAGGCUAAUGUACCCUUCAUAGUCUCAGGCUUCAGAUCAGAUCUCUUAUCUAUGCUGGCACCAGGAUGUGGUUUUGAGUUCUCUGCUUUUUCUACAGCUUUAGGGAAAUCUGCAUGCAGGCACAUCUAAUUGUCCAAACCAAAAAUCACAUCCAGGAUGUGAGGCAGCCUGGGAGAGGUCAUUUUGAGUUCUGUAGUCUCCGAAGUAUAAAAACACAUAAACAUGUAUACAUACACACAUUAACACCCACACACUUUUGAAGGAAGAUGGAAUGGAAGACAAGCACCACAGUGAAACUUUAGAAGAAUUUCCCUUACAUUCAGGAAAAAAAGAUAGAGGGUCCAUUUUCAUCACUCUUAUUGCCAUUGUCUAGAAGAUAAGCCGUAAUAAGAUAAAAUAAAAAGUGUAUAGAACACUUGGAAAAAAAUAUAAAAGAUUGGUCCCAUUCUCCGAUGGCAUGAUAUUCAAAUGAAGAACCAACUAUAAACAGGUUGUUAUGAGCUGAAUGUUAAUGUGACCCCAAAAUUCAUAUGCUGAAAUCUUAACCCCAAAGGUGAUAGUGUUAGAUGGUGAGGCUUUUAGGAGUUGACACAGUGUAAUGCCUCUUCUAUGAAGAAGUGGGCCUUUGUCAGUUACCAAAUCUGCAGAGGCCUUGAUCUUGAACUUCCCAGCCUCCAGAGCUUGGAGGAAUGAAUGUUUAUUGUUUGUAAACCACCCAGUUUAUGGUAUUUUAUUAGAGCUGCUCAAAGGGUCUAAGACACAAGUAUAAGUCAUAAGUAAAUGCAUCAAAUUUGCUGAAUAUAAAUCAACAUAUAAAAAAUCAACAGCAUGCUUGGAUCCCUGGUAUGAAUCACAUCUGGUCAUGGCAAAUAAUCUAAAAAAAAAUAAUAAAAUAAUCAAUUUAAAAAAUUUAAAAAGCAACAGUAUUUACUAUUCAUUGCCAAUGACCAAUUAGAAAAUGGCAUAAACAUGACAUCUGUGAUAAGACAAAUACUCUAAGGUAACUAGAACUACAAGUAAUAAAAGAUGUGUACAGUUUACAGAGACGAUUGUAGAAAGCCAAAAAAAAUUAAAAGUGAAAACCUAAAUGGGAAGAAGCAUCAUGUAUAUUGGGUCAUAGUAGAUAUCAUAAUAUAAAUUAUAAAAUACAGAACAAAAUGAUAUAAAAUACUAAAUUUCAAAAUGUGUUGGAUAUAGCUAAAGCAGCACUAAAGAGGAAUUUAUAGGUUUAAAUACACGUAUUGGGGGAGGAAAGAGAUAAAGUUUGAUAUGGCGGUAAGCAUCCACUUAGGGAAAAGUACAAAAAGAAAAUAAUAGUAGAAAGUAAUAAAAUAGAAAAUAUAAAAGAGGUUUUUUAAAAAAUACUUACAAAAUGGACAGUCUUUAUGGGGAUUGAACAAGAACAAAGAAAGAAGGCACUGAUAACCAAUGUCAAGGAUAUGGAAGUGGAUAUGUGGAUAUAACUAAAAUGCUGCAGUUAUUCGAGAUAAGAGUAUUAUAAGUAACUGUAAGAUAACACAUUUAAAAACUUGGUCGAAAUGGUCAAAUUUGUAGAAAAGUAUAUCUCAACAAAACUGAUUCAAGAAAAAUAACCCAUUAAAAAAUAAAUCAGCAGUUACCUUUUAUUUAUUUAUUUUUGACAAGAAAAUAUCAAAUGGUUUUACUGGCAAGAUCUGCCAAAUAUUCAAGAAACAAGUAAUUUCAAUUUUGGACAGAAUUUUCCAGAGAAGAGAAAAUGGGAAGAGGGUUGUUCCUCAUUUUAUGAAGCUAGUAUACACAUCAGUGCCAACAUUUGACAAGGGAAGUUUGAAAAAGGAAAAUCACCGACUAAUCUCUCCCAUGAGCAGAGACUUAAAAAAUUCUAAACAAAAUAUUUGCCAACCAAAUCCGAAUAUAGAAAGGAUUGUACACCAUGAUCAAGUUGAGCUCAUCCUAGGAAUGUUUCCUUUAUGGUAACAUUCGGGAAAGCAAAAUACAUGGGUGCACAUGCAAGAGGUAGGAGAUUGAGACUGGGAGUCUGUAGAACUUCUGAUUUCAUCCAUUUUUUGCAAGUGAAUUAGAUUUUCUUUAAAAAGGUUAUUGGGUGAAGGCGCAGAUAGAGGAGCAGGUCUUGGAGAUUUAAGGGGAAAGGAAGUAUGAUACAGUCUUCUAGAAGACUGGAAGAGUAAAUGGAAUAUAGCGUGAUUGCAUUGGGGCUCCUCUGAGCUUUAUGGGCAUGAAUUUAAAGAUUAUUUGAGGCCCUGGUUUGUGCAGUAAGAAAAAUUUUGUUUAGGGAUUAGGAAGGAAGAAAUAAAACUAAAAAUCUCCCAUUAUUCACAGAUGACAUGAUGAUUCUUAUAGAAAACCCAAAAGAUAUUACUACAUCAAUAUAGAAAACUCAAUUACAUUUCUUUAUUUUUCUUUUUCUUUUCUUUUUUUUUUUUUUUUGCUUUAAGUUCUAGGAUACAUGUGCAGAACGUGCGGGUUUGUUACAUAGGUAUACAUGUGCCACGGUGGUUUCCUGCACCUAUCAACCCGUCAUCUAGGUUUUAAGCCCAGAAUGCAUUAGGUAUUUGUCCUAAAACUCUCCCUCCCCUUCCCCUACUCCCCCCAACAGGCCCUGGUAUGUGAUGUUACCCUCCCUGUGUCCCUGUGUUCUCAAUGUUCAACUCCUACUUAUGAGUGAGAACAUGCGGUGUUUGGUUUUCUGUUUCUGUGUUAGUUUGCUGAGGAUGAUGGUUUCCAGCUUCAGCCAUGUCGCUGCAAAGGACAUUAACUCAUUCGUUUUUCUGGCUGCAUAGUAUUCCAUGGUG